RNAcentral lists this ribosomal RNA (798 nucleotides) under uncultured Pseudomonadota bacterium. RNAcentral describes it as "bacterial SSU rRNA". It matches the Rfam family "Bacterial small subunit ribosomal RNA", at positions 71 to 847 of the family's 1533-position model. Lineage: Bacteria; Pseudomonadati; Pseudomonadota. The record is from RNAcentral.
AAAGUCCCGCAAGGGAUGAGUAGAGUGGCAAACGGGUGAGUAACGCGUGGGUGACCUGCCUUCGAGUGGGGGAUAACGCUCCGAAAGGGACGCUAAUACCGCAUAACAUCCUGCCUUUUAAGAGGUGGAGAUCAAAGCCUGGGACCGCAAGGCCAGGCGCUUGACGAGGGGCCCGCGUCUGAUUAGCUAGUUGGUGGGGUAAUGGCUCACCAAGGCAACGAUCAGUAUCCGGCCUGAGAGGGCGGACGGACACACUGGGACUGAGACACGGCCCAGACUCCUACGGGAGGCAGCAGUGGGGAAUUGUUCGCAAUGGGCGCAAGCCUGACGACGCAACGCCGCGUGGAGGAUGAAGACCUUCGGGUCGUAAACUCCUUUCGAUCGAGACGAAUGGCCUCCGGGUGAAUAGUCCGGAGGAGUGACGGUACCGAGAGAAGAAGCCCCGGCUAACUCCGUGCCAGCAGCCGCGGUAAUACGGGGGGGGCAAGCGUUGUUCGGAAUUACUGGGCGUAAAGGGCUCGUAGGUGGCCAACUAAGUCAGACGUGAAAUCCCUCGGCUUAACCGGGGAACUGCGUCUGAUACUGGAUGGCUUGAGUUUGGGAGAGGGACGCGGAAUUCCAGGUGUAGCGGUGAAAUGCGUAGAUAUCUGGAGGAACACCGGUGGCGAAGGCGGCGUCCUGGACCAACACUGACACUGAUGAGCGAAAGCCAGGGGAGCAAACGGGAUUAGAUACCCCGGUAGUCCUGGCCCUAAACGAUGAAUGCUUGGUGUGGCGGGUAUCGAUCCCUGCCGUGCC